RNAcentral lists this transfer RNA (74 nucleotides) under mine drainage metagenome. Its description in RNAcentral is "tRNA-Arg". The record is from RNAcentral.
GCGAAUUACCGCGUAGGCGAUGCGGUUGGCUACGAACCAUGAGGUCGGGGGUUCGAAUCCCUCCGGGCGCGCCA